CGCAUCAGCCAUGGCGCGGUGAAUACGUUCCCGGGCCUUGUACACACCGCCCGUCAAGCCAUGGAAGCCGGGAGUGCCUGAAGUGUGCAACCGCAAGGAGCGCCCUAAGGUAAAACUGGUGACUGGGGCUAAGUCGUAACAAGGUAUC
This 148-nucleotide ribosomal RNA is filed under the name uncultured bacterium. RNAcentral's name for it is "partial 16S ribosomal RNA". It matches the Rfam family "Bacterial small subunit ribosomal RNA", at positions 1345 to 1500 of the family's 1533-position model. The record is from RNAcentral.